UUUCCGGUGGCGAUUCCUAAA
This 21-nucleotide non-coding RNA is filed under the name Caenorhabditis elegans. The record is from RNAcentral. Lineage: Eukaryota; Metazoa; Nematoda; Chromadorea; Rhabditida; Rhabditidae.